UACGUAGGGGGCAAGCGUUGUCCGGAUUUAUUGGGCGUAAAGAGCGUGUAGGCGGUUAGGUAGGUCCGUUGUGAAAACUCGAGGCUCAACCUCGAGACGCCGAUGGAAACCAUCUGACUAGAGUCCGGAAGAGGAGAGUGGAAUUCCUGGUGUAGCGGUGAAAUGCGCAGAUAUCAGGAAGAACACCCGUGGCUAAGGCGGCUCUCUAGUACGUGACUGACGCUGAGACGCGAAAGCGUGGGGAGCAAACAGG
This 253-nucleotide ribosomal RNA is filed under the name uncultured bacterium. RNAcentral's name for it is "partial 16S ribosomal RNA". It matches the Rfam family "Bacterial small subunit ribosomal RNA", at positions 524 to 776 of the family's 1533-position model. The record is from RNAcentral.